This 162-nucleotide non-coding RNA is filed under the name Caballeronia glathei. Its description in RNAcentral is "Burkholderia glathei Burkholderia sRNA 2". It matches the Rfam family "Burkholderia sRNA 2". From Rfam's summary of the family: Upregulated in response to iron ion depletion. Predicted targets include MerR family transcriptional regulator. The record is from Rfam by way of RNAcentral. Lineage: Bacteria; Pseudomonadati; Pseudomonadota; Betaproteobacteria; Burkholderiales; Burkholderiaceae.
AUGAGCGCCUGUCCACCCCAUUCCUCCUGCCGUAGCGCCAGCCACCACGUGCCUUUCAGCGCGGUCGGCAUGGACCCGGGCUAUGUGGAGACGGCCAGCGUCGGGCGCCCGCGAAUCAAGGUCGAGCCGCUGUUUCCCUUCUCCGGGACGGCGGCUUUUUUA